GGAGAGAUGGCUCAGCGGUUAAGAGCACUGACUGCUCUUCCAGAGGCCCUGAGUUCAAUUCCCAGCAACCACA
Molecule: transfer RNA, 73 nt
Filed under: Mus musculus (house mouse)
Lineage: Eukaryota; Metazoa; Chordata; Mammalia; Rodentia; Muridae
Description: tRNA-Ser
Source: RNAcentral